ACAUAGAUGACUCUCGGCAACGGAUAUCUAGGCUCUUGCCACGAUGAAGAACGUAGCGAAAUGCGAUACUUGGUGUGAAUUGCAGAAUCCCGUGAACCAUCAAGUUUUUGAACGCAAGUUGCGCCCGAGGCCACCUGGCCAAGGGCACGCCUGCCUGGGCGUCACGC
RNAcentral lists this ribosomal RNA (167 nucleotides) under Kadsura angustifolia. RNAcentral describes it as "5.8S ribosomal RNA". It matches the Rfam family "5.8S ribosomal RNA". Rfam says of the family: 5.8S ribosomal RNA (5.8S rRNA) is a component of the large subunit of the eukaryotic ribosome. The record is from RNAcentral. Lineage: Eukaryota; Viridiplantae; Streptophyta; Magnoliopsida; Austrobaileyales; Schisandraceae.